GGGCCACGUCUUCAGCAUAUGGAAGCUCCCAGGCUAGGGGAUUAAUCAGAGCUGCAGCUGCCAGCCACAGCCACAGCCACAGCAAAGCCGGAUCAGAGCCAUCACAGCUUGCAGCAGCCCCACAUCCUUAACCCAAUGGGCAGGGCCAGGGAUCUAACCAGCAUCCUCAAGGAUACUAGUCAGGUUCAUAACCUGCUGAGCCAUAACGGGAACUCCUAUGUUACAUAAAUUUUGUCAAAAAAAAAAAAUUAGAAAGAAUGAUGAGAGUCCCUUACACAUCACUGCUCUGGAUUUAAGCUGGUGUUUGGGACUCCACGGUGAUGGUAAGGACAUGAUUUGGGAAUGGGUGGCAAAAAAUCUGAAUAAAACCCAGGCUCUGUCCUCAAGAUGCUCACACCCAGUUGGAGGACACAGACACAUACUUCACUAAUGAGAACACAAAUCAGAAGAUAAUAAGCAUCACAGUGGAGAGAGAUAAUUCUGCUGGAGUACAAAGGAAGAUGUGAUUUUUUUUCUGCCUGAGGAAUAUUGCAAAGCUUUGCAGAAGAGGAGAUAUUUCAGCUGGGUUUUUAAGGAUCAGUAGGAGGCGUUCCCAUCCUGGCUCAGUGAAAAUGAAUCUGACUAGCAUCCAUGAGGUGGCAGGUUCCAUCCCUGGCCUCGCUCAGUGGGUUAAGGAUCUGGCAUUGCCAUGAGCUGUGGUGUAGGUCGAAGACAUGGCUCAGAUCCUGCAUUGCUGUGACUGUGGCAUAGGAGGAAGGUGUAGCUCCGAUUUGAACCCUAGCCUGGGAACUUCCAUAUGCCAUGGGUGUGGAACUAAAAAGACAACAACAACAACAACAAUAAUAAUAAUAAAAUCAAGGGACCAGCUGAAUAAAGGCCUGGAGUUGUAUAAAGCAUUCAGAGAUGUACCAGAUGGUAUGAUUUGAGCUAUGAUUUUUCCCUUCUAGUGUUCUGCCACUGCUUUUUAUUAAACAUCACAACCAUGGCCUUUGAUCCUAGGUUCUUGCUUUGCAGAAUAUGAGCCUUCAAUUUAAAAACAGAGAAACGAAAAUGUGGAUCUUGAGCCUGGGUGGAGUUUAGCAGGGUCCCCCAGGUUCCCUUGCUCCGUCCACAUCCCCACCCCCUACCCCCUGUGGUUGUCUGAGCACCUGGAGUCUAUUUGGCAGCUGCUCUGCUCCUGCCCUCUGUCCCUCCAAUCCAAGAGCCCCUCCUGGGUGCAAUGAAUGGCUCCAUCCUGCUGGACGGAUGGGCCCUUGUUCCCUCUUGAAAACGUCCUUGCUCGACUGGUGGCUUCUUCACCCCAGCGCUGCCCUCCCUCUGGUGCACCCAGAGGACGAUGCCAGGGAGGAAACAAGAGACCCAUCCUAUUCCCUCAGGAAGAGUCAGCCCAUCUGGCUCCUUCAGCGGCUGCUUUGUUUGGCUUCUAUUUGGAUUGUGAACCCAUUGUUUUGUGUGGAAGUGGGAAAACCAGGACUCGAAACAAGUACUCUUAUAGGAGGAGUUUGGUGCUUAAUGAAUUAUUCAGUGAGCAGGGCUAAACCCAAAGCGUUCUGGAAAGAAAGAAAAUUUCGGCAUGGAUCCCUGAGACCCCCACUGCUGCCCAGAUGAACAGUUAACCGAAUGGUCCUCCCUGCUAUUUGCUCCCUGAUUCACUAAGCAUAAGCCUGGUUUAUUGUGUUUACAAUUGCGCAUCUUCAGAGCAUAACUGAUUCAUUGCAAUAAGAGUGCACUGGACAGUAGAGGCGUCUCUGAACAGGCUUUUCCCUAAAGCUAGGAAUAAUCCCUGCACCAAAGAUCCAGUCUGAUGAACUAGUCAGUGUUCCCAAACCUCUUAUGCUUGGGGGAGAUCAGGACACGGAGACAUCUGGUCUCGGGCAGCUUUGCCCAGGAUAGAAUAUUGUUCUCCCCAGGGGGGAUCUUGUUAGCAAAUGAGGCUGGCGUGCCUGUCUGAGACGGAGGCUCCUCUCUGUGAGCCCUGGGUAGGGAGUCGGGGACUGGACCGGGGAGCCCUGGAACUAGGCUCCCUCCAAAACCCUGAUAAAAAGAAACCUGGAUUUAACCCUGACUUCUCCUUGAACCAGCUGAUUAAUUUUUUUUUUUUUUCUAUCAACUUCAAUUCCCUUGUCUCCAGCUCUCAGAGGCAUGAAUGCUCUGACUGUGCAGACAAGAAGCAGAUGGGCGGUGGAAGGGUCAGUCUGUACGGGUAGGGGCGAGGAGAGGGGAGGGGAAGCAGGCCUGAAUGUCAUUACUUGAAGGGGUCAGGGGGGUCAGUGACAGUGGCAAGGAACAGAUUUUUCCAGCCGCUUUCAGGCUGAGAUUUGCACUGCAUAAUCUGAAUGCUUUUAUCUGUUUCUGAAAAUAGACAGGAAUUUUUUCCACAGGCUGCUCCAAUCUGGCUGGGGAGACGUGAGGGAGGAUGGCCGGGAGACAGUUGUAUGUGGUCCAGUGAGUACGUUGUGUGACCCCUACCCCGCCACGGCCCCCCAAACAGCCCUUCUCCAUAUUGGUUCCCUGAGUCACGUUAUCUUAAUGUCCCUUGAAGUAGGGAGUCAUAAAUGCUGAGAAUACUUUCCAUUCCCAAUUUUG
Molecule: long non-coding RNA, 2586 nt
Filed under: Sus scrofa (pig)
Lineage: Eukaryota; Metazoa; Chordata; Mammalia; Artiodactyla; Suidae
Description: lncRNA (ENSSSCG00065017242.1)
Source: RNAcentral